GCCUAGCCACAAUACACAAUCAAACUACGAAUUGUUCGCCAAACAACUACGAGUAAUACUUAAAACUUAAAAGACUUGACGGUACUUCACCCCGACCUAGAGGAGCCUGUCUAAUAACCGAUAACCCACGAUUAACCCAACCACUUCUUGCCCAACAGUCUAUAUACCACCGUCGCCAGCUUACCUUGUAAAAGAAAUAAAGUGAGCUAAACAGUAACACACUAAAACGACAGGUCGAGGUGUAACCCAUGAAGGGGGCCAAGAUGGGCUACAUUCUCCAACAGAGAAUACGAACAACACUAUGAAAUUAGUGUUUGAAGGCGGAUUUAGCAGUAAGAUAAGAAUAAAAUACCUAACUGAACACAACGCAAUGAAAUGCGCACACACCGCCCGUCAUCCCUGCCACCACAAUAUUAAAUCUCAAUAAAUUAACUUUAAAAACAACCAGGGCAAGUCGUAACAUGGUAGGUGUACUGGAAAGUGUACCUAGAAA
RNAcentral lists this ribosomal RNA (493 nucleotides) under Trimeresurus medoensis (green bamboo leaf pit viper). RNAcentral describes it as "partial 12S ribosomal RNA". The record is from RNAcentral. Lineage: Eukaryota; Metazoa; Chordata; Lepidosauria; Squamata; Viperidae.